RNAcentral lists this ribosomal RNA (469 nucleotides) under uncultured bacterium. RNAcentral describes it as "bacterial SSU rRNA". It matches the Rfam family "Bacterial small subunit ribosomal RNA", at positions 32 to 507 of the family's 1533-position model. The record is from RNAcentral.
CGGACAACGCUGGCGGCACGCCUAACACAUGCCAAGUCGAACGGACUUAAACGGAGCUUGCUCUUUUAAGUUAGUGGCGGACGGGUGAGUAACACGUGAGCAACCUGCCUUUCUGAGGGGGAUAACGUUUGGAAACGAACGCUAAUACCGCAUAACAUAUAUUUAUCGCAUGAUAGAUAUAUCAAAGGAGCAAUCCGCAGAAAGAUGGGCUCGCGUCUGAUUAGCUAGUUGGUGAGGUAAUGGCUCACCAAGGCAACGAUCAGUAGCCGGACUGAGAGGUUGAACGGCCACAUUGGGACUGAGACACGGCCCAGACUCCUACGGGAGGCAGCAGUGGGGAAUAUUGCACAAUGGGGGAAACCCUGAUGCAGCGAUGCCGCGUGGAGGAAGAAGGUUUUCGGAUUGUAAACUCCUGUCUUCAGGGACGAUAAUGACGGUACCUGAGGAGGAAGCACCGGCUAACUACGUG